RNAcentral lists this transfer RNA (59 nucleotides) under Platerodrilus palawanensis. Its description in RNAcentral is "tRNA-Glu". Lineage: Eukaryota; Metazoa; Arthropoda; Insecta; Coleoptera; Lycidae. The record is from RNAcentral.
CUUAAAUAGUUUAAUUCUGAAAACAUUACAUUUUCAUUGUAAAAUUAAUCAAUUUUUAA